UGGCUUUGUGACCCCACUGUGAGCUGGUACAGCCCCCAGCUAGCAUGGCACCUGGGGUGAUGCUCACCAUCAAUGCUCUUGUUAGUUUUGAAGGCAGACCAUUUUUUGCACUUUGAACCACUGGUUGAGUCCCGCAAACUGACAUGCUCAGUUUUUCUCAUUUAGAUCUCUCUAAAAGUUCAGGCCAGUGAGACAGGGUAUCUGUGUGAUGCCACAGACACAUAUAUAUCUCUUUACAAUGCAGAACACCUCUUUGAAAAACAAUCAAAAUGUCUAGUAAACACUGGCUCUGCUUCUUUGUUUUAUUUUCAAUAUCAAACCAAGAGCUAUGUUUUCACGUAAGAAUAACCUAUUGUGAAGAAACAAAGAAUUAUUCUAAUUAGAGACUAGUAUAGCUGUCAAUCAACUUGCUUAGUGAAAUUGAAAUGUCAUCUGGAAUGCUUUGACUGCCAAAUGCAAGAAUCCCUAUAGUUUCCUCAGAUGGCCUCCUAAUCUAAACCUAACAAAUAACUAGGAUAACCAUUCUGAUUAAAACGGAAGUUUAUAUUCUUGUAUUUCUCAGCACUUUGCAUAGAGAGUCUUAUGUUCAUUGCUGUUCAUGCCUCUUGAGAUAUCUUUGCAACUCCUGAAGCUUGCUACAUUUUCAGAUGUCUGUGCCAUGAUUAAUCGCUUCUUCUUCAUGUAGAUGCAAGUCCUGCUGGAUCAACCAGGAAUAAUGAUCCAACAAGACGUCCAGAGCUAGAAGCUGGUACCAGCACCGAAGGCAACAGCGCAGGGCAUUCCGGGAACAACCUCCUGGGUUCCAAAGUGGCCUGAUUCGAAGGAAUCACAUCAGGAUGCAUCAUCGUCAUCGUCAUCAUCAUCACCUUGGUGGUACUGCUGCUCAAGUACCGCAGGAGGCACGGCAAACACUCUCCACAGCACACAGCCACACCCAAGUGAGGUGGCAACAACUCUGGCUGGGAACCCAGUGAUGUUAUCAUACCACUAAGGACUGCAGACAGUGUCUUCUGCCCACACUAUGAGAAGGUCAGCGGGGACUAUGGGGACCCAGUGUACAUAGCGCAGGAGAUGCCCCCAGAGAAUCCUGCUAACAUUUACUACAAGGUCUGAGGCCUGGGACCUUCGCCUCCCAAGGGAACUCUCACCUUAUUGUGAGUGCAGGAACUGAGCCUGAUGUUGGGGGCGGAAUGCCUCCUGGAAGAGCCUGGAGCUGGACAGUUUUGUAGGCUGUAGCUUUUCAGCCUUGGGGAACCACAGACCUUCCCCGGAAGCUGGAAGACUGCUAAGAGAUCCCCACUUGGACUGCUGUGUCCCUGUGCAGACCUGUAUGCUAUGCACACAGCCAGGCACUCAGGCCUCUGAAGAUCCCGUGGAGGACACGGUGGUCUAUGGGUGAUGCAGCAGUACCUUAGGAGAAAGUUGCACCUCUGCCUCUGUGUUUCCUGCCAUGCACACUGGACUUGUCACUCGGACCUUGGGUAACCUCAGUAAGAUUUUCAAAGAUCUGUAGCAUUUAGUCCACACUCCUUCUGUCGCCAGGGCUCUGCAACACCUCCCCAGACCCCUCACUCUACAUCCCGAAUCAUUAAGGGACACUCACCACCCAGCCCUGGCCCCACCCUUUACACCAAGAUGAGAUUAAAUGUGUAUUAGGUACAGAA
Cricetulus griseus (Chinese hamster) is the source of this 1664-nucleotide non-coding RNA. The record is from RefSeq and is a predicted model, not a curated record. Lineage: Eukaryota; Metazoa; Chordata; Mammalia; Rodentia; Cricetidae.